This is a non-coding RNA of Phrynosoma platyrhinos (Desert horned lizard), 72 nucleotides long. The record is from the annotation of a GenBank genome assembly. NCBI's taxonomy places the organism in Eukaryota, Metazoa, Chordata, Lepidosauria, Squamata, Phrynosomatidae.
GCCAGUGUAGUGUAGUGGUCUGAAUAUUGGACUAGGACUCUAGAGAACAGGGUUAAAAUCCCUGCUUUAACC